RNAcentral lists this ribosomal RNA (507 nucleotides) under uncultured bacterium. RNAcentral describes it as "SSU rRNA". It matches the Rfam family "Bacterial small subunit ribosomal RNA", at positions 26 to 518 of the family's 1533-position model. The record is from RNAcentral.
AGGACGAACGCUGGCGGCGCGCUUAACACAUGCAAGUCGAGCGAGAACCAGGGCUUCGGCUCUGGGGACAGCGGCGAACGGGUGAGUAACACGUGGGUAAUCAACCCUCGACAUCGGGAUAGCCCGGGGAAACCCGGAUUAAUACCGAAUGCUCCGUCUGGCCUUCGGGCCGGCCGGAAAAGGUAGCUUCGGCCUCCGGUCGGGGACGAGCCCGCGGCGGAUUAGCUUGUUGGCGGGGUAACGGCCCACCAAGGCUUCGAUCGGUAGCCGGCCUGAGAGGGUGAUCGGCCACACCGGAACUGAGACACGGUCCGGACUCCUACGGGAGGCAGCAGUGGGGAAUCUUGCGCAAUGGGCGAAAGCCUGACGCAGCAACGCCGCGUGGAGGAUGAAGGUCCUUGGAUUGUAAACUCCUGUCGGCCGGGAAGAAGUUCAUCGGGGCUCAUACCCUCGAUGAUUGACUGUACCGGCAAAGGAAGCCCCGGCUAACUCUGUGCCAGCAGCCGC